AUGAACGCUGGCGGCGUGCCUAAUACAUGCAAGUCGAGCGAACAGAUAAGGAGCUUGCUCCUUUGACGUUAGCGGCGGACGGGUGAGUAACACGUGGGUAACCUACCUAUAAGACUGGGAUAACUUCGGGAAACCGGAGCUAAUACCGGAUAACAUUUGGAACCGCAUGGUUCUAAAGUGAAAGAUGGUUUUGCUAUCACUUAUAGAUGGACCCGCGCCGUAUUAGCUAGUUGGUAAGGUAACGGCUUACCAAGGCGACGAUACGUAGCCGACCUGAGAGGGUGAUCGGCCACACUGGAACUGAGACACGGUCCAGACUCCUACGGGAGGCAGCAGUAGGGAAUCUUCCGCAAUGGGCGAAAGCCUGACGGAGCAACGCCGCGUGAGUGAUGAGGGGUUUCGGCUCGUAAAACUCUGUUAUUAGGGAAGAACAAAUGUGUAAGUAACUGUGCACGUCUUGACGGUACCUAAUCAGAAAGCCACGGCUAACUACGUG
Molecule: ribosomal RNA, 496 nt
Filed under: uncultured bacterium
Lineage: Bacteria
Description: partial 16S ribosomal RNA
Rfam family: Bacterial small subunit ribosomal RNA
Source: RNAcentral